CGCCGGACCUGACUGCUAUCGGAUUGAUACUAAGCCAUGCGAGUCAUUGUAGCAAUACAAGGCAUACGGCUCAGUAACGCGUAGUCAACCUGAGCUAUGGACGGGAAUAACCUCGGGAAACUGAGAAUAAUGCCCGAUAGAACAUUAUGCCUGGAAUGGUUUAUGUUCCAAAUGAUUUAUCGCCGUAGGAUGGGACUGCGGCCUAUCAGUUUGUUGGUGAGGUAAUGGCCCACCAAGACUAUUACAGGUACGGGCUCUGAGAGGAGUAGCCCGGAGAUGGGUACUGAGACACGGACCCAGGCCCUAUGGGGCGCAGCAGGCGAGAAAACUUUGCAAUGUGCGAAAGCACGACAAGGUUAAUCCGAGUGGUUUCUGCUAAAGAAACCUUUUGUCAGUCCUAGAAACACUGAUGAAUAAGGGGUGGGCAAGUUCUGGUGUCAGCA
RNAcentral lists this ribosomal RNA (443 nucleotides) under uncultured archaeon. Its description in RNAcentral is "bacterial SSU rRNA". It matches the Rfam family "Archaeal small subunit ribosomal RNA", at positions 15 to 463 of the family's 1478-position model. The record is from RNAcentral.